UACGAAGGGUGCAAGCGUUAAUCGGAAUUACUGGGCGUAAAGCGCGCGUAGGUGGUUCAGUAAGUUGGAAGUGAAAUCCCCGGGCUCAACCUGGGAACUGCUUUCAAAACUGCUGAGCUAGAGUACGGUAGAGGGUGGUGGAAUUUCCUGUGUAGCGGUGAAAUGCAUAGAUAUAGGAAGGAACACCAGUGGCGAAGGCGACCACCUGGACUGAUACUGACACUGAGGUGCGAAAGCGUGGGGAGCAAACAGG
This 253-nucleotide ribosomal RNA is filed under the name uncultured bacterium. RNAcentral describes it as "partial 16S ribosomal RNA". It matches the Rfam family "Bacterial small subunit ribosomal RNA", at positions 524 to 776 of the family's 1533-position model. The record is from RNAcentral.